GAAAAACGCGGGAAAAUCGUGUGCCAGACGAUUUCCACCCCGACAGUCGCUAACUGAUAAAACUUUGUAUAAUUUUAGUAAUUGAACGCAGGAUGAUUGGAGGAAGGGAGGCAGAAAAAGGAAAAUUUCCAUUUCUGGUAGCAAUAUUUAGAAAAGAAAGUUUUAAUGGUGCUUUUUUUUUCAUCACAACAAAUAAGUUUAUAGGAGCAGCACACGUUGUAGAAAAUUUUAAAAUUCAACACUAACCAGUACACUUGUUAAAGAUCUUCCUUGUGUUUUUUAUAAUACUCUGUAAAUGCAGAGGAGAAUGGAAAUAAAUCGGGUGGUCCUUUUCCUUAACUAAAAUUCAACAUGAAUAGCACGUUUAUUGGAACUUUCACAUUAAUUACAACAAGAACUGUGUUGAAAGCUGCUCACGUAACAAAUUCGUAAUUAAUACGUUACCCUGACAGAUUCAUGCUUCUGAACGUUUGGUUGGGAUGCAGAUAAGUUCUCGGGACAAACAAUACAAAAGAAGUAAACCGUUAAACCACACUUCCUGUCCAAGUUGAACAUCCUUUCUCUAAAAAUUUAGUCACCAAACUGAGAGUCAACCCUUCUGAAUUUCCCCACUCAUCCUGUUCAUGUGGAAAAAUACUACACUCUAAUUGGAAGAAAUCUGCGAAAAAUAGAAUUCUUUCUUAUUAUUCGGGGAAUGCACCAAAACUUCUCAAAGUAGAAGGACGUAUUCCUACGAGUCUCCCAACAGCCAACACCGAAAAUCUACGAAAGAUCCGUCAUCAUUUCUACAAGCUGCAAGCCGUUUUAUCAAGUGCCAUCCUAAAUUCCCAAGAAUGAAGUAAGAUACCAGAUCUUUUUUAUGUCUAAUAUUCACCCUUUUUCCUAUUCGACAUGCUUACGUUCCUCAUACACAAAAUUCCGUGGUUACGCGUGUUAAUCCGCGUUAAAAUACGAUUAAUUGGUGUCGGGAACCCUGACGUGUGACACGAUUGAGAAAUCAUUGUCUCCACCUUUCUACUAGCAACUUAAAUCCGUCCACACUCAAUAUUUUCUUGUAGAAAAGCCUUCCUUAUAGACAAACGAGAACUGAUCUACCGAUUAAGUGGGAUACUAUCUCUGUAUCCCCCGCUAAAUCUCACAAAUAUAUUUUUCAAAUAAGAUUGAGCAUCCGAACUACACAGAAGAAUCCUCUCAAAAUGACAUUGCACUGUUAAUAAUACAAAAUGAUACUUCUGAAUUCAAUAAAUUUAAAUUUCUACCAAAUGUCCAAUUAAUCGCUUUGCAAAGUGACAAUAAAGAAACUUUAGAAAGGGCAUCAAUGGUUGGAUGGGGAAGAAUUGGACGAGCUAAGUACACAUUUGAAUUUUCCAUCAUGUUUCAAUGAUGAUAUUUAUAUAUAAAAUUAACAGAAGCAGUAUACAUUAUUUAAGUUGUCAAAAUUUUAAUUUUGUAAAUUUUGUCAUAAAUUGCAUAGUUAGAUUUAUGGAAUUUCAGUGUUUCUAUGUGACAAAAUGUCAUUUUCUUCGAUUUCAUUCACUUCUAUACAGUGGUGAUAUUCAAAAUAUUUAACAAAGGGUUCGCUAACAGAAAAUUUUUCCUUAAUUUUUUUUUGCUCAAAUGGUGCAUCGGAAGGCUCUAGUUUAGUAGCG
RNAcentral lists this long non-coding RNA (1649 nucleotides) under Centruroides sculpturatus (bark scorpion). RNAcentral describes it as "uncharacterized LOC111614542". Lineage: Eukaryota; Metazoa; Arthropoda; Arachnida; Scorpiones; Buthidae. The record is from RNAcentral.